RNAcentral lists this transfer RNA (78 nucleotides) under Nitrospina sp. Its description in RNAcentral is "tRNA-Pro". The record is from RNAcentral. Lineage: Bacteria; Pseudomonadati; Nitrospinota; Nitrospinia; Nitrospinales; Nitrospinaceae.
CAGGGCGUUUCAUUUCGUUUCAAAACCCCCUGUUUUGGGAGCAGGGGGUCGGAGGUUCAAAUCCUCUCGCCCCGACCA